CUACGGGAGGCAGCAGUGGGGAAUAUUGCACAAUGGGGGGAACCCUGAUGCAGCAACGCCGCGUGAGCGAUGAAGGUCUUCGGAUUGUAAAGCUCUGUCUUCGCUGACGAUAAUGACGGUAAGCGAGGAGGAAGCCACGGCUAACUACGUGCCAGCAGCCGCGGUAAUA
This 169-nucleotide ribosomal RNA is filed under the name uncultured Clostridium sp. RNAcentral describes it as "partial 16S ribosomal RNA". It matches the Rfam family "Bacterial small subunit ribosomal RNA", at positions 339 to 525 of the family's 1533-position model. Lineage: Bacteria; Bacillati; Bacillota; Clostridia; Eubacteriales; Clostridiaceae. The record is from RNAcentral.